GAUGAACGCUAGCGACAGGCCUAACACAUGCAAGUCGAGGGGCAGCACGGUGUAGCAAUACACGGGUGGCGACCGGCGCACGGGUGAGUAACGCGUAUGCAACCUGCCUACUACAAGGGGAUAACCCGUUGAAAGACGGACUAAUACCCUAUAACACAGGGAAUCCGCAUGGAUAUAUUUGUUAAAGAUUUAUCGGUAGUAGAUGGGCAUGCGUUCCAUUAGCUUGUUGGUGAGGUAACGGCUCACCAAGGCAACGAUGGAUAGGGGAACUGAGAGGUUGAUCCCCCACACUGGAACUGAGACACGGUCCAGACUCCUACGGGAGGCAGCAGUGAGGAAUAUUGGUCAAUGGACGAGAGUCUGAACCAGCCAAGUCGCGUGAAGGAAGACGGCCCUACGGGUUGUAAACUUCUUUUGUAAGGGAAUAAAUAGUCUUACGCGCUAAGACGUUGCAGGUACCUUACGAAUAAGGAUCGGCUAACUCCGUGCCAGCAGCCGCGGUAAUAGUCACG
Molecule: ribosomal RNA, 512 nt
Filed under: uncultured bacterium
Lineage: Bacteria
Description: bacterial SSU rRNA
Rfam family: Bacterial small subunit ribosomal RNA
Source: RNAcentral